This 467-nucleotide ribosomal RNA is filed under the name uncultured bacterium. RNAcentral describes it as "bacterial SSU rRNA". It matches the Rfam family "Bacterial small subunit ribosomal RNA", at positions 28 to 507 of the family's 1533-position model. The record is from RNAcentral.
GACGAACGCUGGCGGCGUGCUUAACACAUGCAAGUCGAACGGUCCUGUUUUUGAAGCGCUUCGGCGUGGAGGGGACGGGGCAGUGGCGCACGGGUGAGUAAUGCGCGAGGACCUGCCCGCAGGAGGGGGACAGCAGUUGGAAACGGCUGGUGAUACCCCGUAGGCCGGGAGGUGAAAGGGCGGAGACGCCCGCCUGCGGAUGGACUCGCGUCCUAUCAGCUAGUUGGUGAGGCAACGGCUCACCAAGGCGACGACGGGUAGCCGGCCUGAGAGGGUGUCCGGCCACACUGGAACUGAGACACGGUCCAGACUCCUACGGGAGGCAGCAGUGGGGAAUUUUGGGCAAUGGGGGAGACCCUGACCCAGCGACGCCGCGUGAGGGACGAAGGCCCUUGGGUCGUAAACCUCUUUUGCAGGGGAAGAAGAAGAUGACGGUACCUUGCGAACAAGUCCUGGCUAACUACGUG